GAUGAACGCUGGCGGCGUGCCUAAUACAUGCAAGUCGAGCGAACAGACCAGGAGCUUGCUCCUCUGACGUUAGCGGCGGACGGGUGAGUAACACGUGGACAACCUACCUAUAAGACUGGGAUAACUUCGGGAAACCGGAGCUAAUACCGGAUAAUAUAUUGAACCGCAUGGUUCAAUAGUGAAAGACGGUUUUGCUGUCACUUAUAGAUGGAUCCGCGCCGCAUUAGCUAGUUGGUGAGGUAACGGCUUACCAAGGCAACGAGGGGUAGACGACCCCAGGGGGUGGUCGACCACACUGGCUCUGAGACACAGUACACACUCCGACAGGAGGAAACGGUAGGGACUCUUCCGCGAUGGGGGAAAGCCUGACGGAGGAACGCCGCGUGAGUGAUGAAGGACUUCGGACCGUAAAACGCUGUUAGUAUGGAAGAACAAAUGUGUAAGUAACUAUGCACGUCUUGACGGUACCGGGUCAGAAAGCCACGGCUAACUACGUG
This 497-nucleotide ribosomal RNA is filed under the name uncultured bacterium. RNAcentral describes it as "partial 16S ribosomal RNA". It matches the Rfam family "Bacterial small subunit ribosomal RNA", at positions 28 to 507 of the family's 1533-position model. The record is from RNAcentral.